CCUAUGGGUGGCAGCAGUGGGGAAUAUUGGGCAAUGGGCGCAAGCCUGACCCAGCAACGCCGCGUGAAGGAAGAAGGCUUUCGGGUUGUAAACUUCUUUUGACAGGGAAGAGGAGAAGACGGUACCUGUCGAAUAAGCCACGGCUAACUACGUGCCAGAAGCAGCGGUAAAACGUAGGUGGCAAGCGUUGUCCGGAUUUACUGGGUGUAAAGGGCGUGUAGCCGGGUUGACAAGUCAGAUGUGAAAUCCUGCGGCUUAACCGCAGAACUGCAUUUGAAACUGUUGAUCUUGAGUACUGGAGAGGCAGCCGGACUUCCUCGUGUAGCGGUGAUAUGCGUAGAUAUUAGGAGGCACACCAGUGGC
RNAcentral lists this ribosomal RNA (363 nucleotides) under uncultured bacterium. RNAcentral's name for it is "partial 16S ribosomal RNA". It matches the Rfam family "Bacterial small subunit ribosomal RNA", at positions 338 to 716 of the family's 1533-position model. The record is from RNAcentral.